RNAcentral lists this ribosomal RNA (427 nucleotides) under uncultured bacterium. RNAcentral's name for it is "partial 16S ribosomal RNA". It matches the Rfam family "Bacterial small subunit ribosomal RNA", at positions 355 to 774 of the family's 1533-position model. The record is from RNAcentral.
UGGGGAAUAUUGGACAAUGGGCGAAAGCCUGAUCCAGCCAUGCCGCGUGUGUGAAGAAGGUCUUCGGAUUGUAAAGCACUUUAAGUUGGGAGGAAGGGCAUUAACCUAAUACGUUAGUGUUUUGACGUUACCGACAGAAUAAGCACCGGCUAACUCUGUGCCAGCAGCCGCGGUAAUACAGAGGGUGCAAGCGUUAAUCGGAAUUACUGGGCGUAAAGCGCGCGUAGGUGGUUUGUUAAGUUGGAUGUGAAAUCCCCGGGCUCAACCUGGGAACAGCAUUCAAAACUGACUGACUAGAGUAUGGUAGAGGGUGGUGGAAUUUCCUGUGUAGCGGUGAAAUGCGUAGAUAUAGGAAGGAACACCAGUGGCGAAGGCGACCACCUGGACUAAUACUGACACUGAGGUGCGAAAGCGUGGGGAGCAAACA